AUACGGAGGAUCCGAGCGUUAUCCGGAUUUAUUGGGUUUAAAGGGUGCGCAGGCGGGAGAUUAAGUCGGCGGUGAAAUUUUUCGGCUCAACUUUAAAAGUGUCUUCGAAACUGGUUUUCUUGAGUGUAAAUGAAGUAGGCGGAAUUUGUGGGGUAGGGGUGAAAUGCAUAGAUAUCACGAGGAACUCCGAUUGCGCCGGCAGCUUACUAAACUACUACUGACGCUCAGGCACGAAGGCGUGGGGAUCAAACAGGAUUAGAUACCCUGGUAGUCCACGCAGUAAACGAUGAUUACUAGCUGUUUGCGAUACAAUGUAAGCGGCUGAGCGAAAGCGUUAAGUAAUCCACCUGGGGAGUACGUUCGCAAGAAUGAAACUCAAAUGAAUUGACGGGG
This 393-nucleotide ribosomal RNA is filed under the name uncultured bacterium. RNAcentral describes it as "partial 16S ribosomal RNA". It matches the Rfam family "Bacterial small subunit ribosomal RNA", at positions 523 to 918 of the family's 1533-position model. The record is from RNAcentral.